AGGAAUAUUGGUCAAUGGACGGGAGUCUGAACCAGCCAAGUAGCGUGAAGGAUGACUGCCCUAUGGGUUGUAAACUUCUUUUAUACGGGAAUAAAGUGAUCCACGUGUGGAUUUUUGUAUGUACCGUAUGAAUAAGGAUCGGCUAACUCCGUGCCAGCAGCCGCGGUAAUACGGAGGAUCCGAGCGUUAUCCGGAUUUAUUGGGUUUAAAGGGAGCGCAGGCCGUCCUUUAAGCGUGCUGUGAAAUGCCGCGGCUCAACCGUGGCACUGCAGCGCGAACUGGAGGACUUGAGUACGCACGAGGUAGGCGGAAUUCGUGGUGUAGCGGUGAAAUGCUUAGAUAUCACGAAGAACUCCGAUUGCGAAGGCAGCUUACCGGAGCGCAACUGACGCUGAGGCUCGAAAGCGCGGGUAUCGAACAGGAUUAGAUACCCUGGUAGUCCGCGCGGUAAACGAUGGAUGCCCGCCGUUGGGUUUUAGAAUUCAGCGGCCAAGCGAAAGCGUUAAGCAUCCCACCUGGGGAGUACGCCGGCAACGGUGAAACUCAAAGGAAUUGACGGGGGCCCGCACAAGCGGAGGAACAUGUGGUUUAAUUCGAUGAUACGCGAGGAACCUUACCCGGGCUUGAAUUGCAGGAGAACGAUCCAGAGAUGGUGAGGCCCUUCGGGGCUCCUGUGAAGGUGCUGCAUGGUUGUCGUCAGCUCGUGCCGUGAGGUGUCGGCUCAAGUGCCAUAACGAGCGCAACCCCUGUCCAUAGUUGCCAUCAGGUCGUGCUGGGCACUCUGUGGAGACUGCCGCCGUAAGGUGUGAGGAAGGUGGGGAUGACGUCAAAUCAGCACGGCCCUUACGUCCGGGGCUACACACGUGUUACAAUGGGGCAUACAGCGAGUUGGAUGUGCGCAAGUACGUCCGGAUCAAUAAAGUGCCUCUCAGUUCGGACUGGGGUCUGCAACCCGACCCCACGAAGCUGGAUUCGCUAGUAAUCGCGCAUCAGCCAUGGCGCGGUGAAUACGUUCCCG
This 1018-nucleotide ribosomal RNA is filed under the name uncultured bacterium. RNAcentral describes it as "bacterial SSU rRNA". It matches the Rfam family "Bacterial small subunit ribosomal RNA", at positions 357 to 1376 of the family's 1533-position model. The record is from RNAcentral.